RNAcentral lists this ribosomal RNA (303 nucleotides) under uncultured bacterium. Its description in RNAcentral is "partial 16S ribosomal RNA". It matches the Rfam family "Bacterial small subunit ribosomal RNA", at positions 507 to 807 of the family's 1533-position model. The record is from RNAcentral.
AGCAGUCGCCGCGGGAACACGUAGGGUGCAAGCGUUAAUCGGAAUUACUGGGCGUAAAGCGUGCGCAGGCGGUUAUAUAAGACAGAUGUGAAAUCCCCGGGCUCAACCUGGGAACUGCAUUUGUGACUGUAUAGCUAGAGUACGGCAGAGGGGGAUGGAAUUCCGCGUGUAGCAGUGAAAUGCGUAGAUAUGCGGAGGAACACCGAUGGCGAAGGCAAUCCCCUGGGCCUGUACUGACGCUCAUGCACGAAAGCGUGGGGAGCAAACAGGAUUAGAUACCCGGGUAGUCCCUGUCUCUUAUAC